Molecule: long non-coding RNA, 615 nt
Filed under: Phoenix dactylifera (date palm)
Lineage: Eukaryota; Viridiplantae; Streptophyta; Magnoliopsida; Arecales; Arecaceae
Description: long non-coding RNA (PDAC_LNC020597)
Source: RNAcentral
AAAUGAACAUUGUUCGGAAGAAGUAAAAGUUAAGUAAAUACUCCAAUCUUAAGAAAAAGCGGAGCAAGCAUAAUAUAUUCAGCAUAUUUGUGAGACUUGUGUGAGCACUCUUUUGGAAGGGAUAAAAUUCGUAAUUAAUUAUAUUUAAAUAGGGAGAGUUUGGAGUGAACAUUUUUAAAGGAAACAGUUUAACCUUUCUAUAUUGCUCAUCAUAGGGAUGGUGCCAAUGGAGAGGCUAGUGGUAGUACCCGGUACUAUUUGACCCAACUAUUCAGUGUAGGGCAUAUUAGGGACGGCACAAGAGGGAGGCUAGUGGUAGUACCUCGUGCCCCUUCCAACUCCACUGGAUAGGGAGCAAAUAAAGUAUAAAGCAUAGAAAAGUAAAACCAAAAAGAAAUGAAGAUCAGAAUGUUCACUAAGUGCUUAAAGGAAGAAAUUCAAAAAUGAGGAAAUUAAUGACAAGAUAAAUGAAAGUAUAUAAGAAGCUUGUGGAAAGCCAAAUGAAGUUUCGAUCACUUGAAAACACACCUUAAGGAUAAAAUCAAUGUAGAAUUAUAUAGGGAGAGUUUAUUUGAAAAGAAUUGAUUUUGAUUCUUGACAUGCUUGCUCUUAAUA